This is a long non-coding RNA of Leopardus geoffroyi (Geoffroy's cat), 392 nucleotides long. RefSeq lists it as uncharacterized. The record is from RefSeq and is a predicted model, not a curated record. NCBI's taxonomy places the organism in Eukaryota, Metazoa, Chordata, Mammalia, Carnivora, Felidae. The transcript has 3 exons.
CAUGCCUGGAUAGGAGAUGCCCAGGCGACAUGCCAGCGAGCGGUGAGUUAAAGACAGGAGCCCAUCUACAGCUCCCCACUUCCUCGUGUUCCCUCAGCACCUCCAGAGAUGAGAAAAAAAUUGACUUCUGAUGGGAAGGGGGUUUCUCAGCCCAAGUCCCCUCCAACAUCAACUCCAACCACUCAGGAACAAGCAGUUCAACUCUAUUUCCCCAAAGAGGUCUGUGGCUGCUUUCCUGCUACAAUGGCAGAGCUGCGCGAUUAUGACGGAGACGAUGUGAUCUGCAAAGCCUAAAAUAUUUCCUACCUGGCCCCCUUUACAGUAAAGCUACUCUUGAAAAAUGCUCGUCUUGUUGCUACUGGUGUAAGAGAAAAUAAAUUCUUCCACUAUGC